ACGAGAAGACCCCAUGGAGCUUUAAACCCAACAACACCCGCCCCCCUCCAAAUCCUAUUAUUUACCCGGUGAUUGUUUGUUUGGUUUUAGGUUGGGGUGACCGCGGAGUAUAAGAUAUCCUCCAUGAAAAAAAGCUAACUGCCCUUAUUAGAGAAAGACACUUCCAAAAAAUAAUAAAUUAAUUUUAAAUGAUCCGACAUUCGAUCAACGAACCAAGUUACCCUGGGGAUAACAGCGCAAUCCGUCCCGAGAGCCCCUAUCGACAGGCGGGUUUACGACCUCGAUGUUGGAUCAGGGUAUCCCAGUGGUGCAGCAGCUACUAAAGGUUCGUUUGUUCAACGAUUAA
RNAcentral lists this ribosomal RNA (346 nucleotides) under Boophis madagascariensis (Madagascar bright-eyed frog). RNAcentral's name for it is "partial 16S ribosomal RNA". It matches the Rfam family "Bacterial large subunit ribosomal RNA", at positions 2080 to 2591 of the family's 2925-position model. The record is from RNAcentral. Lineage: Eukaryota; Metazoa; Chordata; Amphibia; Anura; Mantellidae.